GAUGAACGCUGGCGGCGUGCCUAAUACAUGCAAGUCGAGCGAACAGAUGAGGAGCUUGCUCCUCUGACGUUAGCGGCGGACGGGUGAGUAACACGUGUAUAACCUACCUAUAAGACUGGGAUAACUUCGGGAAACCGGAGCUAAUACCGGAUAAUAUAUUGAACCGCAUGGUUCAAUAGUGAAAUACGGUUUUGCUGUCACUUAUAGAUGGAUCCGCGCCGCAUUAGCUAGUUGGUAAGGUAACGGCUUACCAAGGCAACGAUGCGUAGCCGACCUGAGAGGGUGAUCGGCCACACUGGAACUGAGACGCGGUCCAGGCUCCUACGGGAGGCAGCAGUAGGGAAUCUUCCGCAAUGGGCGAGAGCAUGACGGAGCAACGGCGAGUGAGUGAUGAAGGUCUUCGGAUCGUAAAACUCUGUUAUUAGGGAAGAACAAAUGUGUAAGUAACGAUGCACGUCUUGACGGUACCUAAACAGAAAGCCACGGCUAACUACGU
This 496-nucleotide ribosomal RNA is filed under the name uncultured bacterium. RNAcentral's name for it is "partial 16S ribosomal RNA". It matches the Rfam family "Bacterial small subunit ribosomal RNA", at positions 28 to 506 of the family's 1533-position model. The record is from RNAcentral.